GACGAACGCUGGCGGCGUGCUUAACACAUGCAAGUCGAACGAAGAGCGCUGGAAGUUUGCUUCUGUCCAUCUUAGUAGCGAGCGGGUGAGUAACGCGUAAUCAACCUGCCCUUCAGAGGGGGACAACAGUUGGAAACGACUGCUACUACCGCAUACUACCUAAUCUUGGCGUCGAGGAGAGAUGAAAGGUGGCCUCUGCAUGUAAGCUAUCACUGCAGGAGGGGAUUGCGUCUGAUUAGCUAGUUGGAGGGGUAAGGGCCCACCAAGGCGAUGAUCAGUAGCCGGUCGGAGAGGAUGAACGGCCACAUUGGGACUGAGACACGGCCCAGACUCCUACGGGAGGCAGCAGUGGGGAAUCUUCCGCAAUGGACGAAAGUCUGACGGAGCAACGCCGCGUGAGUGAUGACGGCCUUCGGGUUGGAAAGCUCUGUUAAUCGGGACGAAAGGCCUUCUUGCGAAUAGUGAGAAGGAUUGACGGUACCGGAAUAGAAAGCCACGGCUAACUACGUG
This 510-nucleotide ribosomal RNA is filed under the name uncultured bacterium. RNAcentral describes it as "partial 16S ribosomal RNA". It matches the Rfam family "Bacterial small subunit ribosomal RNA", at positions 28 to 507 of the family's 1533-position model. The record is from RNAcentral.